GCUGACUGGCUGUGGCAGGAGGCGGGGGGCGUGGUUGGCCCGCCGGGGAAGCCCCGCCAGAUUUAAAAAUACUGAGUCUCAAAGCGCGGGGUCUACUCUACCCAGCCGGCACCGCUCGGUUAGCUGACGCUGAGGUAGCCGGGGAGGUGCGUCCCGUCGGUCCCCCGCCCCAGAGCGGCCGCAGUCCCGGCUCCCGGAGUGGUGGUCCCUGCCCCGUCCAGAGAAUAACAUGGGGAGGCCGAGGAGCCUGCGCUGCGGCGGACGACCAGCCCCGCCGGCGGUCGCUGAGGCUGGGGUUCCAAUGCCAGUCUUCCAGUGCCAGUGCUGCUUCCCAGCCCACACAUCCCUCUCACCACUGCUGCAUCCUAAGGAAGUCAGCAACCUUCAGGGGGUACUUGUUCCUGGAGCCAGAGUAGAGGAGGGUGGCGCUUCCAAGGCUGUGGGCAUCCAAAGAAAGAGUGCUGUCCAUCCUCCUCCUGCCUACUGAUCUCCCAUCAGCAGAACCCCACUGGAGACCUACUGGCAG
This 526-nucleotide long non-coding RNA is filed under the name Sus scrofa (pig). Its description in RNAcentral is "lncRNA (ENSSSCG00070022198.1)". The record is from RNAcentral. Lineage: Eukaryota; Metazoa; Chordata; Mammalia; Artiodactyla; Suidae.